RNAcentral lists this ribosomal RNA (468 nucleotides) under uncultured bacterium. RNAcentral's name for it is "partial 16S ribosomal RNA". It matches the Rfam family "Bacterial small subunit ribosomal RNA", at positions 28 to 507 of the family's 1533-position model. The record is from RNAcentral.
GACGAACGCUGGCGGCGUGCUUAACACAUGCAAGUCGAACGGAAAGGCCCUGCUUUUGUUGGGUGCUCGAGUGGCGAACGGGUGAGUAACACGUGAGUAACCUGCCCUUGACUUUGGGAUAACUUCUGGAAACUGGGGCUAAUACCGGAUAUGAGCUCCUGCUGCAUGGUGGGGGUUGGAAAGUUUCGGCGGUUGGGGAUGGGCUCGCGGCUUAUCAGCUUGUUGGUGGGGUAGUGGCUUACAAAGGCUUUGACGGGUAGCCGGCCUGGGAGGGUUGCCGGCCACAUUGGGACUGAGAUACGGCCCAGACUGCUACGGGAGGCAGCGGGGGGGAAUAUUGCAGAAUGGGCGGAAGCGUGAUGCAGCAACGCCGCGUGCGGGAUGACGGCCUUCGGGUGGUAAACCGCUUUGUCCUGUGACGAAGCGUGAUUGACGGUAAUGGGUAAAGAAGCACCGGCUAACUACGUG